Molecule: long non-coding RNA, 359 nt
Organism: Oncorhynchus tshawytscha (Chinook salmon)
Lineage: Eukaryota; Metazoa; Chordata; Actinopteri; Salmoniformes; Salmonidae
Source: Ensembl
GAGGGUGUGUGAGAGAGUGUGUGAGAGAGUGUGUGAGAGGGUGUGUGAGAGGGUGUGUGAGAGAGUGUGUGAGAGGGUGUGUGAGAGGGUGUGUGAGAGAGUGUGUGAGAGGGUGUGUGAGAGGGUGUGUGAGAGAGUGUGUGAGAGGGUGUGUGAGAGGGUGUGUGAGAGAGUGUGUGAGAGGGUGUGUGAGACGGUCAGUGAGAAGGGCGAGAAAGCCUGAAGGGAGUCUCCACGGCUGGGCUGAGAUGUUUGGUUAAUCCUGUCGUUGUUUUGAAAAAAACCCCACAAUAUACAGUUUUUAACAAUACGCACACGCGUCUAGAGACGGAACCAACCAUUUCGGGGCUAAAUCCGUG